AACGAACGCUGGCGGCAUGCCUAACACAUGCAAGUCGAACGAGACCUUCGGGUCUAGUGGCGCACGGGUGCGUAACGCGUGGGAACCUGCCCUUAGGUUCGGAAUAACUCAGAGAAAUUUGAGCUAAUACCGGAUAAUGUCUUCGGACCAAAGAGUUAUCGCCGUUGGAUGGGCCCGCGUAGGAUUAGCUUGUUGGUGGGGUAAUGGCCUACCAAGGCGACGAUCCUUAGCUGGUCGGAGAGGAUGAUCAGCCACACUGGGACUGAGACACGGCCCAGACUCCUACGGAGAGCAGCAGUGGGGAAUAUUGGACGAUGGGCGAAAGCCUGAUCCAGCAAUGCCGCGUGAGUGAUGAAGGCCUUAGGGUUGUAAAGCUCUUUUACCAGGGAUGAUAAUGACAGUACCUGGAGAAUAAGCGCCGGCUAACUACGUG
Molecule: ribosomal RNA, 433 nt
Filed under: uncultured bacterium
Lineage: Bacteria
Description: partial 16S ribosomal RNA
Rfam family: Bacterial small subunit ribosomal RNA
Source: RNAcentral